Long non-coding RNA from Malaclemys terrapin pileata, 990 nucleotides. RefSeq lists it as uncharacterized. NCBI's taxonomy places the organism in Eukaryota, Metazoa, Chordata, Testudines, Emydidae. The transcript has 4 exons. The record is from RefSeq and is a predicted model, not a curated record.
AGGAGGGCUCUGCAGCAUUAGGGAAGAAACAAACAGUCUCCUAGGCACCGUGAUGGACAGUCUGUGUGCAGAAAAAGAAGGUGGGUUUUCCAUCGCCCCCAAAAUGAUACAUCACUGCACGUUCCCCACGUACGUUACUUAUUUCAAGUGCGCUGGAAACCCGUUUGUUUGGUAGCAGGAGGAGAGGCAGCCAAAGUUACCGAGCCCGCUGCCAUCACUUCCUGCAAAGGGCCCGGCCUGGAGAGCGAGAGCCCGCAGCGCCAGAGGGAUUCCUGCACUUGAAGAUCGAGCGGUUCCUGCUAUUCCUCGCACAUAAUCUCGUGGCUCUUCUCUGAACCCUCUCCAAUUUAUCAACAUCCUUCUUGAAUUGUGGACACCAGAACUGGACACAGUAUUCCAACAGCAACCACACCAGUGCAAAAUACAGAGGUUUGGUCCUUUGCAGAACACCAGGGCAGGUCUGAUGUCAAGGGAAUGAAGUCUUCUCUUCAGCAGAAGCAUGGGGUUUCAGAAAAAGGACACAAAUCCAGGGCUACUAGAAGAUGGAGCAGAAACUCCGUCACCAACUUGACCUCUCAGCAGGAGCAACUUACCAGGAGCCAAUCGUUCAGAUAUGAGACAACUGUGUAACAUUAACAUUUCAUUUGGGCUGCCACCACAGAGAAAACUUUUGUAAACACUCUGGAUGCUAUUGCUAGCCAAAGAGAAGAACUCUGAACUGGAAUUGUUCUUGGCCCACCAUAAAUUGCAGGAACCUUCUGUGAGCGGGAUGAAUUUCUACAUGAAAGUAAAAAGCAACAGAGGGUCCUGUGGCACCUUUAAGACUAACAGAAGUAUUGGGAGCAUAAGCUUUCGUGGGUAAGAACCUCACUUCUUCAGAUGCAAACUGAAGAACGUGAAAGUAUGCAUCCUUCAUAUCGAGAGCCACAAAUUACAUUGGAUAAUCAAUGCUAAUGUAACCAUCCUGAAUUUCAACUUUCAAAUAAAGAU